UGCACUUUAAAAGCACAUUUACUGGGUUUACAAUAAUGAAAUCACUCAAAUUUUUUGAGAAAGAGCUACAAAUUUGAACCUAGAGGAAAUGUGUGAAAUAAUUUGAAAGGUCCACUCUGUUUCUAAACAUAAUGGUAAAUGGUCUGUAUUUGUAUAGUGCUUUACUUAGUCCCUAUGGACCCCAAAGCACUUUACACUACAUUCAGUCAUCCACCCAUUCACACACACAUUCACACACUGGUGAUGGCAAGCUACGAUGUAGUUUGCCAUUACCGGUGUGUGAAUGUGAAUGGGUGGAUGACUGGUUGUGUAAAGCGCUUUGGGGUCCUUAGGGACUAGUAAAGCGCUAUACAAAUACAGGCCAUUUACUAUUUUAAUGGAAACAUACAUUUCCAGAAAAAUGUUGAUAUAUUUUUUUUCUUUGCUAAUUUGAAAAAUCUCUUGAGUCCUUGAAUCUAUAUACAGCUGUCAUGGUCUCGGUGUCUUAAGAGCUCAUUUUGUCAAAUGAUCUAUGUUCUCGCUGUGACCCUGGAUUACAUAAGCAGAAGAAGAUGGAUGGAUUCAUGUUGUGUCACAUUUCCUGUUUUAUUUUGGUAAUGGAUAUGUAAUGUGUUUUGUGUUGAGCUAACUUCCCCCGUCUCAUUAUACUGUAUCUAUAUUGUCUUCAUGUUGUCUCAGUCUCCCCUUGUUUAUUGUUGUGUUGUCCCUCUGUGACAUAUGCAUGGUUUGCAUAUGCAGGACUCUAAAGAUAUCCCCAUGCCUAGAUUAGAAGCUGGUGUUUUACACAGACAGUAUGAUUAAUAAUGAACAGAAAACAAAACAAAUAUCAAAAGUACACAUACAUAAGAAAAGAAGAAAUUAAUCCCAUGAAUUCAAAUGUGCUUCAGAAUAAAAGAAUGAAACAACAGUUGAACUCGUUUUUAACCCUGUAAAGCCUGAACCAUGAAAUAACUACAAAAUGGUUCAUCUUUUUGACACAGGUAUUUUUUUAACUUUAGACCCAUAAAAAAAAAUUAAAUAUCAAUGUGCAUGUAUGAGUCUUAAUUUAAUUUAUUUUUUUAUUUUUUUUACUUCAGCUGGCAUUUUUGUGCAAUUUAUUGCUUGAAAUUUUAUUGUGCAAUUUCUUCAGAUUUCUCAGGGGGAAAAUUCACACUAAUAAUGUGGAAGUCUCAAAAAAGUCAUAAAAACUAAUGUAUUAAAUAUGAUACACUUGGCAUUUCAGCAUUAUGGGAAAUAUUCAUAUAAGAUACGCUUUAGAUCUCUGGAGUAAUUUCAGCGAUUACUCCAGAGCCAAGAGCCAUUAGUGUCAUUUGUUUAAUCCAUACAAUUAACCAAAAUUCCAUAAACUUUAGGGAUUUCAGUGUAUCAUUAACUUUCAGUCCCCAACAACAACUUCCGUUUUCUCUUAA
Molecule: long non-coding RNA, 1409 nt
Organism: Astatotilapia calliptera (eastern happy)
Lineage: Eukaryota; Metazoa; Chordata; Actinopteri; Cichliformes; Cichlidae
Source: Ensembl